UAGCGGCAGGCCUAAUACAUGCAAGUCGAGGGGUAACAGGAGAGCUUGCUCUUGCUGACGACCGGCGUACGGGUGCGUUACGCGUAUGCAACCUACCUACAACAGAGGGAUAGCCCGUGGAAACAUGGAUUAAUACCUCAUGGCACUAACUAUAGGCAUCUUGUGUUAGUUAAAGAAUUUCGGUUGUAGAUGGGCAUGCGUGACAUUAGCUAGCUGGUGUGGUAACGGCACACCAAGGCAUCGAUGUCUAGGGGACCUGAGAGGGUGAUCCCCCACACUGGUACUGAGACACGGACCAGACUCCUACGGGAGGCAGCAGUAGGGAAUAUUGGUCAAUGGAGGCAACUCUGAACCAGCCAUGCCGCGUGUAGGAGGACGGCCUUCUGGGUUGUAAACUACUUUUAUAUGGGAAGACCUANCCUUGCGAGGUGAAAAGACGGUACCAUAAGAAUAAGCACCGGCUAACUCCGUGCCAGCAGCCGCGGUAAU
This 489-nucleotide ribosomal RNA is filed under the name uncultured bacterium. RNAcentral describes it as "bacterial SSU rRNA". It matches the Rfam family "Bacterial small subunit ribosomal RNA", at positions 37 to 524 of the family's 1533-position model. The record is from RNAcentral.